RNAcentral lists this unclassified non-coding RNA (266 nucleotides) under Hevea brasiliensis (rubber tree). Lineage: Eukaryota; Viridiplantae; Streptophyta; Magnoliopsida; Malpighiales; Euphorbiaceae. The record is from RNAcentral.
UUUGGUGGAUUUCUUGUCCAAUUUUUGAUGGAGGACCUGGCCAACCAAUGGCCGCAAAUAGGUAGCAAAGGACCCACACACCAACCAGUCACAACUCCAAUUGUUGCUGCCACUACACCAUCAGCAAUAUAAAAUCCAUAUGGUGGAGGAACAGCACCCAUCAUACCCAUCUUCUCAAUCAAAAAUUGGACAAGAAAUCCACCAAAAUAAACUGAAUACAUGAUACAUGGAAGUAAAGGUAAUACGUAGAUGACUGUUGACCUGAG